GCCCUGGUGGCAUAAUGGUUAAGCACUUGGCUGCUAACCAAAAGGUCCGUGGUUCAAACCCACCAGUGGCU
Molecule: transfer RNA, 71 nt
Filed under: Loxodonta africana (African savanna elephant)
Lineage: Eukaryota; Metazoa; Chordata; Mammalia; Proboscidea; Elephantidae
Rfam family: tRNA
About the family: Transfer RNA (tRNA) molecules are approximately 80 nucleotides in length.
Source: Rfam by way of RNAcentral